AGAGCGAUGGGCUUGGCUGGUAGAGCGAUGGGCUUGUAACCCAAAGGUCGCCGGUUCGAAUCCGACUCAGUCUC
Non-coding RNA from Paramuricea clavata, 74 nucleotides. The record is from the annotation of a GenBank genome assembly. NCBI's taxonomy places the organism in Eukaryota, Metazoa, Cnidaria, Anthozoa, Malacalcyonacea, Plexauridae.